Molecule: long non-coding RNA, 1663 nt
Organism: Gorilla gorilla gorilla (western lowland gorilla)
Lineage: Eukaryota; Metazoa; Chordata; Mammalia; Primates; Hominidae
Exons: 3
Source: RefSeq, a predicted model, not a curated record
AGGGGCGCCGGUGCCUGCGGAGAGAUGGAGAACAGUGAGGCUGAGCCUGGAAAGACAGGGAUAGACACAGAGCUGCAGAUUAUGAGACAAAGAACUGGUUGCAGAGAGGACUGUUCAAGUCACUGGAAAACAGAGAAGACCCUGCCCUCCAGGAGAUUGAAACCACCUCUUCCUAAACACCCUUCCCUGACAGUCCAAGUUGAAGCAGGUGACUGCACCACUGGGUACUCUGAGCUUUUUCUGGACCCAGCAGGAACCCUGGCACACGGCCUUCCUUCGCCUCUACAGUGAUAUCUUCCUUCAGCCCCUUCCUUUCCCAUGUGAUCCCACUUGGCAGCCAACCCAGCCUAAGGCCGUCUUAUCCAAGGCCUGCCCCUCAGAGGCUCCGCCCAUCUCAGUCCCAGCAGGCCUGAUCUAGGAACCUGUAUUCACUCACUCUGCAGGUGUCGCCCCCUUCUAUGCUCCACCCACAUAGGCCCUGCUCAAUAGCCACCUCAACCUACUUGGCAGAGCUGCCUCCUACCACAGAGACCCAUGCUCACUACAUGCCACCACUCCUCGCGGGACCCAACAGUUUUUGCGCCAGACCACGCUUUUCCACAAGCCCCGCCCCACCACAGGCCCCGCCCAUCUGCUCUGCAUCGCUCCCAAGAACAUUUUCCGUGCUUACUCUUCCGGCUCCUAGGUCUCCAAUUCCUUUUUCUUUUUCUGGAGGACAGUUUUUUUGUUUGUUUGUUUGUUUGUUUUUUCGAGACAAAGUCUCGCUCUGUCCCCCAGGCUGUGGAGUUCAGUGGCGCGAUCUUGGCUCACUGCAGCCUCUGCCUCCUGGGUUCAAAUUAUUCUCAUGUCUCGGCCUCCCGAGUAGCUGGGAUUACAGGCAUGCGUCACCACGCUCGGCUAGUUUUUGUAUUUUUAGAAGAGACAGGGUUUCACCAUGUUGGCCAGACUGGUCUCGAACUCCCAACCUCAGGUGAUCCGCCCGCCUCAGCCUCUCAAAGUGCUGGGAUUACAGGCGUGAGCCACCACGCCCGGCCAGGACUAGUUCUUUGAUUCAAAAAGACCCUUGUCAAUAUUCAGUAUCAAAACAGUUGCACUAUUGAUUUCUCUUUCUCCUAAUUGGCCCCAAGAGACCACAUCAAAGGAGAGUACAUUUUAAGCCAUUAAGCUGCAGGAUGUACACCUAACAGACCUCGCAGAAACCUUACCAGAAAGUGGGGAUUGGUUAGAGAAAGGAACUUUCAAAGAUCAGCAAAUUGCUAGUGUCCUCCAACCUACCACACAGGGCGAAUCCCUUAGGCCCCUGCGGACUCCUGCCCAUUCCACUGGACUCCACAAACGCUCCUCAGGAUCUACUACUCCGCAGACCCCGCUACACACCCCACCUCCUCCAAGGCAGUCUGAAAUGCCUGCAGAAGGCCCUAACCCCAAUUCGGAGCCACUUCAGGCCACUCCAAGCCACCACCAGCAACCAGCCCCCGUCCCGCCUAAGCCCCAAGCUUGGCCCCUGUAAAACUCCUGCUCAAUCAACAAGCCCCACCCAACUCUCAGGCCCGCCCAUCUGGCCGCCCCCGGCCCUGCUCUAGCUCUGCCUAGAGUCCAACACGCACCGUCCAGUCCCCUCCCGCGGGCCCCGCCCCCAGCCAGCCCGCUAGUCCCACAAGCC